ACCUACGGGACGCAGCAGUGGGGAAUAUUGCACAAUGGGGGGAACCCUGAUGCAGCGACGCCGCGUGGGUGAGGAAGUACUUCGGUAUGUAAAGCCCUAUCAGCAGGGAAGAAAAUGACGGUACCUGACUAAGAAGCCCCGGCUAACUACGUGCCAGCAGCCGCGGUAAUACGUAGGGGGCAAGCGUUAUCCGGAUUUACUGGGUGUAAAGGGGGCGCAGACGGCAAUGCAAGCCAGGAGUGAAAGCCCGGGGCCCAACCCCGGGACUGCUCUUGGAACUGCAUGGCUGGAGUACAGGAGGGGCG
This 305-nucleotide ribosomal RNA is filed under the name uncultured bacterium. Its description in RNAcentral is "bacterial SSU rRNA". It matches the Rfam family "Bacterial small subunit ribosomal RNA", at positions 337 to 659 of the family's 1533-position model. The record is from RNAcentral.